GCACCGCGGACUCCUUGGUGAGGACGCAAACCCCAAGCCCACUGCUACUUCAGGGGUCUUUUGCGUUUCCCGAGGCAGAACCUUGGUGAGGCUUUGUCUAAUGCAGUCAAGGUUAGGAGACUCUGCGGCCAUUCCUUCCAUUUCGCUCAGUCCUUCCGGGAGAAGCACCUGCUCCUUUCGGCGGGGGUGGGGGACAGGGGGAACUGCUCCUCUCGCCCUCCUUGGUGGGGGUGGGGCGACAGGGUUACCAGCUCAUUGCUUCCUCCCGUGGUGGGGAGACGGGGCUACUGGCUCAUCUCUUCCUCCUGUGGCAUCUGGCUCUGAUACUCAUGCCAACCCCGCCCCCUCCCCGGUGUGGAUGCUGGAUGCCUGCCUUGCUCUGUUAGGAUAAUGGCUCAGAGACUAAAGUGUUCCGGAGAGAUGGGAAAGAGAUCAGCUUUAUUUUUGAAGCAUGAAACCUCUGAGAAAGUCCUAAUGUAAGGAAUUGACCCCAGAAUCACUUGCAAUAAGAAGCAAGUCCACUUGGUGAGAUAUGGGGGGAGCAGGGGUCCCAGGGAGCAAGGUGGUGCUGUUGCAUUUCUGUUUGCGGUGUGACUCGAAGGCCUGUCAGAGCCAACGAGGGAAACAGACUCUGCUGCUCUAAUGUCCUUUGCUGGAAGUGCAGCCGAGGGUCAUUAGGACACACUGUGCGAGGGGCAGUGCUACCUGUGGUCCCUCACAGGCAGGCCCUUAGGGGCCCAGGAUCGUUGUGCUCUGGGCACUUACGCCCCCCCCCCGACAUGCCCGAGCCGUUACAGUCCAGGCAGGCUCUGCAAGUCCACGGCAUCCCUGGGCAUCAUCAUGCUCCACCAUGCCCCCUUACUCCCCACCGUGCUCCACCAUGCUCCAUUGUCCUCCGUCAUGCUCCACCAUGCUCUCCUGUGCCUAACCAUCCUCCACCAUCUUCCACGGUGCUCCAUCAUGCUUUAUCAUCCUCUACCGUGCUUCCUUAUGCUUCACCAUACUCCACCAUGCUCCACUAUACUCCACCAUCCUCCAUUGGCCUCCAUCAUGCUCUGCCAUGCUCUACUGUGCCUAACCAUCCUCCACCAUCUUUCACUGUGCUUCCCCAUCCUCUACCGUCUUCCACUGUGCUUCACCAUCCUCCACUGUGCUCCAUCAUCCUCUACCAUGCUUCCUUAUGCUUCACCAUACUCCACCAUGCUCCACGGGCCUCCAUCAUGCUCCGCCAUGCUCUACUGUGCCUAACCAUCCUCCACCAUCUUUCACUGUGCUUCACCAUCCUCUACCGUCUUCCACUGUGCUUCACCAUCCUCCACUGUGCUCCAUCAUGCUCCAUCAUCCUCUACCAUGCUUCCUUAUGCUCCACUAUACUCCACCAUGCUCCACUGGCCUCCAUCAUGCUCCGCCAUGCUCUACUGUGCCUAACCAUCCCCCACCAUCUUUCACUGUGCUUCACCAUCCUCUACUGUGCUUCAUCAUCCUCUACCAUGCUUCCUUAUGCUUCACCAUACUCCCCCAUGCUCCACCAUACUCCACCAUGCUCCACUAUACUCCACCAUGCUCCACUGGCCUCCAUCAUGCUCCGCCAUGCUCUACUGUGCCUAACCAUCCUCCACCAUCUUUCACUGUGCUUCACCAUCCUCUACCGUCUUCCACUGUGCUUCACCAUCCUCCACUGUGCUCCAUCAUCCUCUACCAUGCUUCCUUAUGCUUCACCAUACUCCACCAUGCUCCACGGGCCUCCAUCAUGCUCCGCCAUGCUCUACUGUGCUUCACCAUCCUCUGCCAUGCCCCACCAUGCUUCACUCUGCUUCCCCAUGCUCCGUUAUCCUCCAUCAUACUUCACCAUCCUUCACCGUGCCCUAUAA
RNAcentral lists this long non-coding RNA (1871 nucleotides) under Sus scrofa (pig). RNAcentral describes it as "lncRNA (ENSSSCG00060065668.1)". The record is from RNAcentral. Lineage: Eukaryota; Metazoa; Chordata; Mammalia; Artiodactyla; Suidae.